GCGGCGCGCUUACACAUGCAAGUCGAGCGAGAAAGGGGAGCAAUCCCUGAGUACAGCGGCGUACGGGUGAGUAACACGUGGGUAAUUUACCUCUGAGUGGGGAAUAACCCUGGGAAACCGGGGCUAAUACCGCAUAAGCCUGAGAAGGGAAAGCAGCAAUGCGCUGAGAGAGGAGCCCGCGGCCGAUUAGCUAGUUGGUGAGGUAACGGCUCACCAAGGCGACGACCGGUAGCCGGCCUGAGAGGGCACACGGCCACACUGGCACUGAAACACGGGCCAGACUCCUACGGGAGGCAGCAGUGGGGAAUCUUGCACAAUGGAGGCAACUCUGAUGCAGCGACGCCGCGUGAGCGAUGAAGCCCUUCGGGGUGUAAAGCUCUUUCGGCAGGAACGAUAAUGACGGUACCUGAAGAAGAAGCUGCGGCUAACUACGUGCCAGCAGCCGCGGUAAUACGUAGGCAGCGAGCGUUGUUCGGAAUUACUGGGCGUAAAGAGUGUGUAGGCGGUGCUCUAAGUUCGGUGUGAAAUCUCCUGGCUUAACUGGGAGGGUGCGCCGGAAACUG
This 563-nucleotide ribosomal RNA is filed under the name uncultured bacterium. RNAcentral's name for it is "bacterial SSU rRNA". It matches the Rfam family "Bacterial small subunit ribosomal RNA", at positions 39 to 635 of the family's 1533-position model. The record is from RNAcentral.